RNAcentral lists this ribosomal RNA (1462 nucleotides) under Enterobacter sp. ISTBE1. RNAcentral describes it as "bacterial SSU rRNA". It matches the Rfam family "Bacterial small subunit ribosomal RNA". The record is from RNAcentral. Lineage: Bacteria; Pseudomonadati; Pseudomonadota; Gammaproteobacteria; Enterobacterales; Enterobacteriaceae.
CAAUGAACGCUGGCGGCAGGCCUAACACAUGCAAGUCGAGCGGUAACACAGAGAGCUUGCUCUCGGGUGACGAGCGGCGGACGGGUGAGUAAUGUCUGGGAAACUGCCUGAUGGAGGGGGAUAACUACUGGAAACGGUAGCUAAUACCGCAUAACGUCGCAAGACCAAAGUGGGGGACCUUCGGGCCUCAUGCCAUCAGAUGUGCCCAGAUGGGAUUAGCUAGUAGGUGGGGUAAUGGCUCACCUAGGCGACGAUCCCUAGCUGGUCUGAGAGGAUGACCAGCCACACUGGAACUGAGACACGGUCCAGACUCCUACGGGAGGCAGCAGUGGGGAAUAUUGCACAAUGGGCGCAAGCCUGAUGCAGCCAUGCCGCGUGUAUGAAGAAGGCCUUCGGGUUGUAAAGUACUUUCAGCGAGGAGGAAGGCGUUAAGGUUAAUAACCUUGGCGAUUGACGUUACUCGCAGAAGAAGCACCGGCUAACUCCGUGCCAGCAGCCGCGGUAAUACGGAGGGUGCAAGCGUUAAUCGGAAUUACUGGGCGUAAAGCGCACGCAGGCGGUCUGUCAAGUCGGAUGUGAAAUCCCCGGGCUCAACCUGGGAACUGCAUUCGAAACUGGCAGGCUAGAGUCUUGUAGAGGGGGGUAGAAUUCCAGGUGUAGCGGUGAAAUGCGUAGAGAUCUGGAGGAAUACCGGUGGCGAAGGCGGCCCCCUGGACAAGACUGACGCUCAGGUGCGAAAGCGUGGGGAGCAAACAGGAUUAAUACCCUGGUAGUCCACGCCGUAAACGAUGUCACUUGGAGGUUGUGCCCUUGAGGCGUGGCUUCCGGAACUAACGCGUUAAGUCGACCGCCUGGGGAGUACGGCCGCAAGGUUAAAACUCAAAUGAAUUGACGGGGGCCCGCACAAGCGGUGGAGCAUGUGGUUUAAUUCGAUGCAACGCGAAGAACCUUACCUACUCUUGACAUCCAGAGAACUUAGCAGAGAUGCUUUGGUGCCUUCGGGAACUCUGAGACAGGUGCUGCAUGGCUGUCGUCAGCUCGUGUUGUGAAAUGUUGGGUUAAGUCCCGCAACGAGCGCAACCCUUAUCCUUUGUUGCCAGCGGUUAGGCCGGGAACUCAAAGGAGACUGCCAGUGAUAAACUGGAGGAAGGUGGGGAUGACGUCAAGUCAUCAUGGCCCUUACGAGUAGGGCUACACACGUGCUACAAUGGCAUAUACAAAGAGAAGCGACCUCGCGAGAGCAAGCGGACCUCAUAAAGUAUGUCGUAGUCCGGAUUGGAGUCUGCAACUCGACUCCAUGAAGUCGGAAUCGCUAGUAAUCGUAGAUCAGAAUGCUACGGUGAAUACGUUCCCGGGCCUUGUACACACCGCCCGUCACACCAUGGGAGUGGGUUGCAAAAGAAGUAGGUAGCUUAACCUUCGGGAGGGCGCUUACCACUUUGUGAUUCAUGACUGGGGGAAG